RNAcentral lists this long non-coding RNA (296 nucleotides) under Gossypium barbadense (sea-island cotton). RNAcentral describes it as "long non-coding RNA (GBAR_LNC011641)". The record is from RNAcentral. Lineage: Eukaryota; Viridiplantae; Streptophyta; Magnoliopsida; Malvales; Malvaceae.
UAAUUUUACUAUAAUGGCAAAAGAAUGAAGAGUACAAAAGAUGGAGAUAAAAACUAAACCCCGAAAACCCGAAAAACAAAGAACCCUCAAACGUAAACACAAAAUUCUCUGAAUGUGUUAUGAGUUCUAAUCUAAUGGGUGUCUCUCUAAUUCUAAGAUUGUAAAGGAGCCUAUUUAUAGGCUAAAUUAGCAAGUCAAAUAAACUAUACUAAUAAAUGCUAAAUAUAUUAUACUAAUAAAUACUAAAUCUUCUAGAAAGAAAAUAUAUUUUUGUUUAACUUGACUUGCAAGCAAUC